Molecule: long non-coding RNA, 235 nt
Filed under: Vigna radiata
Lineage: Eukaryota; Viridiplantae; Streptophyta; Magnoliopsida; Fabales; Fabaceae
Description: long non-coding RNA (VRAD_LNC016268)
Source: RNAcentral
UUGUGUCCUAGAUAGAGAGAAAAGAAAAGAGACAAGAUGAAGAAAAAGAAAAAGAAAAAAAAAUAAAGAAAAAUGAGAAAAAUAAAAAAAUUGUGUGAAUGAUGGAGUCAAGAAGAGGAUUGAAUUAGAGGGUUUAGGGUGUUAUUUGACUAUAAUUUCACUUGUUCCCCAUUUCUCCUCUAUUUCUUUUGGUUUGUAGCUUCUCAUCCAUAUUAUAUCCUCCCUUGUCCUUGGC